RNAcentral lists this small nucleolar RNA (86 nucleotides) under Setaria italica (foxtail millet). Its description in RNAcentral is "Small nucleolar RNA U61". It matches the Rfam family "Small nucleolar RNA U61". Lineage: Eukaryota; Viridiplantae; Streptophyta; Magnoliopsida; Poales; Poaceae. RNAcentral also lists the same sequence under 1 other name. The record is from Rfam by way of RNAcentral.
UGGCGAUGAGGAAAGAAAUCUGUGUGCCGGAGGCGUCCGGUGACGCCGGUGUCGGUUCCACAAAUCCUCUAAGAAGUUCUGAGCCA